ACAUACAAGUCGAGCGAUGAAACACCUUCGGGUGUGAAUUAGCGGCGAACGGGUGAGGAACACGUGAAGAAUCUGCCUUCAACUCUGGGAUAACUCCGGGAAACCUGGGCUAAUACCGGAUACGUAAACCUGUGGCAUCACAUGGUUUUGGAAAGUUUUUCGAUCGAGGAUGGAUUCGCGGCCUAUCAGCUUGUUGGUGAGGUAAUGGCUCACCAAGGCGACGACGGGUAGCCGGCCUGAGAGGGUGAACGGCCACACUGGGACUGAGACACGGCCCAGACUCC
Molecule: ribosomal RNA, 284 nt
Filed under: unidentified marine bacterioplankton
Lineage: Bacteria
Description: partial 16S ribosomal RNA
Rfam family: Bacterial small subunit ribosomal RNA
Source: RNAcentral